GACGAACGCUGGCGGCGUGCUUAACACAUGCGAGUCGAACGGAAAGGCCCUGCUUUUGUGGGGUGCUCGAGUGGCGAACGGGUGAGUAACACGUGAGUAACCUGCCCUUGACUUUGGGAUAACUUCAGGAAACUGGGGCUAAUACCGGAUAGGAGCUCCUGCUGCAUGGUGGGGGUUGGAAAGUUUCGGCGGUUGGGGAUGGACUCGCGGCUUAUCAGCUUGUUGGUGGGGUAGUGGCUUACCAAGGCUUUGACGGGUAGCCGGCCUGAGAGGGUGACCGGCCACAUUGGGACUGAGAUACGGCCCAGACUCCUACGGGAGGCAGCAGUGGGGAAUAUUGCACAAUGGGCGGAAGCCUGAUGCAGCAACGCCGCGUGCGGGAUGACGGCCUUCGGGUUGUACACCGCUUUCGCCUGUGACGAAGCGUGAGUGACGGUAAUGGGUAAAGAAGCACCGGCUAACUACGUG
Molecule: ribosomal RNA, 468 nt
Filed under: uncultured bacterium
Lineage: Bacteria
Description: partial 16S ribosomal RNA
Rfam family: Bacterial small subunit ribosomal RNA
Source: RNAcentral